UUAUCUGAGUUGGGUCUUUAUAGCUUUUGCUUUUCUAUAUAUUUGCUCAUUUAAACUUACCAUAUUCCAUAGUACUAAACAUUUGUAGGUCAUGGUAGCCACAGGUAAAACCAUGAAUGCCUCUUCACUACACAGUAAGAAAAAAACAACUUUUCUAUACAAGUCUGGUAUUCAUGAAAAACGGUAACCUGAACACAUUUAGUAUGGAGAUAAAUGCAAAAAUGACCAUAGCUUCAUAACAAACAAUUGUUAUUCUAUUAUUUCUGUAACAGUUAAUACAGGCUUGAGUCCUGUCUUACUGUGGAUGUCUGAUGGCAAGUUGGAUGGAGUGAUUUUUACAAUGGCAACCCACAGACUCAAUGUGGACACCUUGUUGUAAAACACUUUUUUAUUAUUAUUAUUAACUGUAUUAUAUUUAUUCCUUUUGAUAUAUGAGUGAUGUGUCUGGCACACAUUUUCUUGUUCUCUAGUUUCCUUGAUUCUUCUGCCUUGGCUGCACGCUGUGGAAACCUGACCUGGUGAGGACCCUCUCCUCCAUCCUCAACUAUUGAACCUCUUAUAUCACUCGGAUGAGGUGUUCUGGAUCCAGACUGGAGCUUGUGUUAAUCCUAGUUACCACGGGAUGAAGAUCCAGCAGAAACAGAGAAACAAAUAGAGACAUCAUUAGCAUAGCUGCUAAUACCAGCCUGUGAUCUCCUAAGACACCCAGAUUCAGCCCUGGUCACGAUCUGUCCCACACCUGUGUCUCAUCACAGUCCAUCACCAGUGUCUGCACCCUGCCUACUGCCAAUAUUAUGGAUUUCUGUUCUGGAGAGAGAUGCCAUUCACAACAUAAUCUCUACACAAUAUCAAACUCAAAUAAUUUAAUCUUGCCUAACAGUUUCCCUGAUUUGUUACAGUUUACAAUGUAGCAUGGUCUUGCCUAACUUUGUCCAUUCAG
Molecule: long non-coding RNA, 940 nt
Organism: Carassius carassius (crucian carp)
Lineage: Eukaryota; Metazoa; Chordata; Actinopteri; Cypriniformes; Cyprinidae
Exons: 3
Source: RefSeq, a predicted model, not a curated record